CCCUUAGAUGUUCUGGGCCGCACGCGCGCUACACUGUUCGACGCAGCGAGUCUUAACCUUGACCGAAAGGUUUGGGUAAUCUUCAGCAAAGUCGAACGUGAUGGGGAUCGAUCAUUGCAAUUAUUGAUCGUGAACGAGGAAUUCCUAGUAAGUGCAAGUCAUCAGCUUGCGCUGAUUACGUCCCUGCCCUUUGUACACACCGCCCGUCGCUACUACCGAUUGAAUGGUUUAGUGAGAUCUCUGGAUUGACGCUGGCUAGGGGGCGACCCUUGGCCAGGCUGUCGAGAAACUGCUCAAACUUGAUCACUUAGAGGAAGUAAAAGUCGUAACA
RNAcentral lists this ribosomal RNA (331 nucleotides) under uncultured eukaryote. Its description in RNAcentral is "partial 18S ribosomal RNA". It matches the Rfam family "Eukaryotic small subunit ribosomal RNA", at positions 1470 to 1796 of the family's 1831-position model. The record is from RNAcentral.